This 628-nucleotide ribosomal RNA is filed under the name uncultured bacterium. Its description in RNAcentral is "bacterial SSU rRNA". It matches the Rfam family "Bacterial small subunit ribosomal RNA", at positions 858 to 1482 of the family's 1533-position model. The record is from RNAcentral.
CNNUAAACAUUCCGCCUGGGGACUACGGUCGCAAGAUUAAAACUCAAAGGAAUUGACGGGGACCCGCACAAGCGGUGGAGCAUGUGGUUUAAUUCGAUGCAACGCGAAAAACCUUACCACUCCUUGACAUGGAAAUUAUACCUAUUCGAAGGGAUAGGGUCGGUUCGGCCGGGUUUCACACAGGUGUUGCAUGGCUGUCGUCAGCUCGUGUCGUGAGAUGUUGGGUUAAGUCCCGCAACGAGCGCAACCCUCAUCCUUAGUUACCAUCAGGUAAUGCUGGGGACUUUAAGGAGACUGCCAGUGAUAAACUGGAGGAAGGUGGGGAUGAUGUCAAGUCAUCAUGGCCCUUAUGGAGUGGGCUACACACGUGCUACAAUGGUGGCUACAAUGGGCUGCAAAGUCGCGAGGCUAAGCCAAUCCCUUAAAAGCCAUCUCAGUUCGGAUUGUACUCUGCAACUCGAGUGCAUGAAGUUGGAAUCGCUAGUAAUCGUGGAUCAGCACGCCACGGUGAAUACGUUCUCGGGUCUUGUACACACUGCCCGUCACGCCAUGGGAAUUGGUUUCACUCGAAGCUAACGACCUAACCGCAAGGAGGGAGUUAUUUAAAGUGGGAUCGGUGACUGGGGUG